RNAcentral lists this ribosomal RNA (406 nucleotides) under uncultured bacterium. RNAcentral's name for it is "partial 16S ribosomal RNA". It matches the Rfam family "Bacterial small subunit ribosomal RNA", at positions 30 to 526 of the family's 1533-position model. The record is from RNAcentral.
AUUGAACGCUGGCGGCAGGCCUAACACAUGCAAGUCGAACGAGGGGCGGACGGGUGAGUAAUGUCUGGGAAACUGCCCGAUGGAGGGGGAUAACUACUGGAAACGGUCGCUAAUACCGCAUACCAUCAGAUGUGCCCUGAUGGGAUUAGCUUGUUGGUGGGGUAACGGCUCACCAAGGCGACGAUCCCUAGCUGGUCUGAGAGGAUGACCAGCCACACUGGUACUGAGACACGUUCCAGACUCCUACGUGAGGCAGCAGUGGGGAAUAUUGCACAAUGGGCUCAAGCCUGAUGCAGCCAUGCCGCGUGUAUGAAGAAGGCCGUCGGGUUGUAAAGUACUUUCAGCGGUGAGGCGUUACCCGCAGAAGAAGCACCGGCUAACUCCGUGCCAGCAGCCGCGGUAAUUC